Molecule: ribosomal RNA, 301 nt
Filed under: uncultured bacterium
Lineage: Bacteria
Description: partial 16S ribosomal RNA
Rfam family: Bacterial small subunit ribosomal RNA
Source: RNAcentral
CAGCAGCCGCGGUAAUACGGAGGGUGCAAGCGUUAAUCGGAAUUACUGGGCGUAAAGCGCACGCAGGCGGUCUGUCAAGUCAGAUGUGAAAUCCCCGGGCUUAACCUGGGAACUGCAUUUGAAACUGGCAGGCUAGAGUCUUGUAGAGGGGGGUAGAAUUCCACGUGUAGCGGUGAAAUGCGUAGAGAUGUGGAGGAACACCGAUGGCGAAGGCAGCCCCCUGGGCCAAUACUGACGCUCAUGCACGAAAGCGUGGGGAGCAAACAGGAUUAGAUACCCGCGUAGUCCCUGUCUCUUAUAC